UGGCUCAGAUUGAACGCUGGCGGCAGGCCUAACACAUGCAAGUCGAACGGUAACAGGAAGCAGCUUGCUGCUUUGCUGACGAGUGGCGGACGGGUGAGUAAUGUCUGGGAAACUGCCUGAUGGAGGGGGAUAACUACUGGAAACGGUGGCUAAUACCGCAUAACGUCGCAAGACCAAAGAGGGGGACCUUCGGGCCUCUUGCCAUCAGAUGUGCCCAGAUGGGAUUAGCUUGUUGGUGAGGUAACGGCUCACCAAGGCGACGAUCCCUAGCUGGUCUGAGAGGAUGACCAGCCACACUGGAACUGAGACACGGUCCAGACUCCUACGGGAGGCAGCAGUGGGGAAUAUUGCACAAUGGGCGCAAGCCUGAUGCAGCCAUGCCGCGUGUAUGAAGAAGGCCUUCGGGUUGUAAAGUACUUUCAGCGGGGAGGAAGGUGUUGCGGUUAAUAACCGCAGCAAUUGACGUUACCCGCAGAAGAAGCACCGGCUAACUCCGUGCCAGCAGCCGCGGUAAUACGGAGGGUGCAAGCGUUAAUCGGAAUUACUGGGCGUAAAGCGCACGCAGGCGGUCUGUCAAGUCGGAUGUGAAAUCCCCGGGCUCAACCUGGGAACUGCAUUCGAAACUGGCAGGCUUGAGUCUUGUAGAGGGGGGUAGAAUUCCAGGUGUAGCGGUGAAAUGCGUAGAGAUCUGGAGGAAUACCGGUGGCGAAGGCGGCCCCCUGGACAAAGACUGACGCUCAGGUGCGAAAGCGUGGGGAGCAAACAGGAUUAGAUACCCUGGUAGUCCACGCCGUAAACGAUGUCUACUUGGAGGUUGUGCCCUUGAGGCGUGGCUUCCGGAGCUAACGCGUUAAGUAGACCGCCUGGGGAGUACGGCCGCAAGGCUAAAACUCAAAUGAAUUGACGGGGGCCCGCACAAGCGGUGGAGCAUGUGGUUUAAUUCGAUGCAACGCGAAGAACCUUACCUGGUCUUGACAUCCACAGAAGAAUCCAGAGAUGGAUUUGUGCCUUCGGGAACUGUGAGACAGGUGCUGCAUGGCUGUCGUCAGCUCGUGUUGUGAAAUGUUGGGUUAAGUCCCGCAACGAGCGCAACCCUUAUCCUUUGUUGCCAGCGAUUAGGUCGGGAACUCAAAGGAGACUGCCAGUGAUAAACUGGAGGAAGGUGGGGAUGACGUCAAGUCAUCAUGGCCCUUACGACCAGGGCUACACACGUGCUACAAUGGCGCAUACAAAGAGAAGCGACCUCGCGAGAGCAAGCGGACCUCAUAAAGUGCGUCGUAGUCCGGAUUGGAGUCUGCAACUCGACUCCAUGAAGUCGGAAUCGCUAGUAAUCGUGGAUCAGAAUGCCACGGUGAAUACGUUCCCGGGCCUUGUACACACCGCCCGUCACACCAUGGGAGUGGGUUGCAAAAGAAGUAGGUAGCUUAACCUUCGGGAGGGCGCUUACCACUUUGUGAUUCAUGACUGGGGUGAAGUCGUAACAAGG
This 1486-nucleotide ribosomal RNA is filed under the name uncultured bacterium. RNAcentral's name for it is "16S ribosomal RNA". It matches the Rfam family "Bacterial small subunit ribosomal RNA". The record is from RNAcentral.